CGAUCGAGACCCCAGGUCAGACGGGACUACCCGCUGAGUUUAAGCAUAUCAAUAAGCGGGGAGAAGAAACUUACAAGGAUUCCC
This 84-nucleotide ribosomal RNA is filed under the name Plantago squarrosa. RNAcentral's name for it is "partial 28S ribosomal RNA". It matches the Rfam family "Eukaryotic large subunit ribosomal RNA", at positions 1 to 79 of the family's 3401-position model. Lineage: Eukaryota; Viridiplantae; Streptophyta; Magnoliopsida; Lamiales; Plantaginaceae. The record is from RNAcentral.